GGCGGACGGGUGAGUAACGCGUAGGAAUCUGCCUGGUAGCGGGGGACAACCUGGUGAAAACCAGGCUAAUACCGCAUACGCCCUACGGGGGAAAGCAGGGGAUCUUCGGACCUUGCACUAUCAGAUGGGCCUGCGUCGGAUUAGCUAGUUGGUGAGGUAAUGGCUCACCAAGGCGACGAUCCGUAGCUGGUUUGAGAGAAUGAUCAGCCACACUGGGACUGAGACACGGCCCAG
This 234-nucleotide ribosomal RNA is filed under the name uncultured bacterium. RNAcentral describes it as "partial 16S ribosomal RNA". It matches the Rfam family "Bacterial small subunit ribosomal RNA", at positions 97 to 334 of the family's 1533-position model. The record is from RNAcentral.